UGGUUAUCCAAGGGGCAGUGCUGAGC
RNAcentral lists this non-coding RNA (26 nucleotides) under Homo sapiens (human). Lineage: Eukaryota; Metazoa; Chordata; Mammalia; Primates; Hominidae. The record is from RNAcentral.